UACGUAGGGUGCGAGCGUUGUCCGGAUUUAUUGGGCGUAAAGAGCUCGUAGGCGGUCUGUCGUGUCGGAUGUGAAAACCCAGGGCUCAACCCUGGGCCUGCAUUCGAUACGGGCAGACUAGAGUACGGCAGGGGAGACUGGAAUUCCUGGUGUAGCGGUGAAAUGCGCAGAUAUCAGGAGGAACACCGGUGGCGAAGGCGGGUCUCUGGGCCGAAACUGACGCUGAGGAGCGAAAGCGUGGGGAGCGAACAGG
RNAcentral lists this ribosomal RNA (253 nucleotides) under uncultured bacterium. RNAcentral's name for it is "partial 16S ribosomal RNA". It matches the Rfam family "Bacterial small subunit ribosomal RNA", at positions 524 to 776 of the family's 1533-position model. The record is from RNAcentral.